This 4338-nucleotide ribosomal RNA is filed under the name Triticum aestivum (bread wheat). RNAcentral describes it as "partial small subunit ribosomal RNA". Lineage: Eukaryota; Viridiplantae; Streptophyta; Magnoliopsida; Poales; Poaceae. The record is from RNAcentral.
AUGGCGGAGCUAUUGGCCACCAUGGCAAUCGAGCCAUUGGUGUCCAAGCUGUUAGACAAGGCGUCCAGCUACCUCCUGGACCAGUACAAUGUGAUGGAGGGAAUGGAGGAGCAGCACAAGACUCUCAAACGCAAGCUUCCGGCCAUCCUUGACGUCAUCACCGACGCCGAGGAGCAGGCCACGGCACACAGAAAAGGUGCCAAAGCCUGGCUCCAGGAGCUCAAGACGGUGGCCUAUGAGGCAAAUGAAGUCUUUGACGAAUUCAAGUACGAAGCACUCCGUCGUCAAGCCAAGAAGGAUGGGCACUACAGCAAGCUCGGCUUUGAUGUAAUCAAACUCUUCCCUACUCACAAUCGUGUUGUGUUCCGUUACAAAAUGGGUCGCAAGCUUUGCCUGAUUCUGCAGGCCAUUGAGGUCCUCAUAGGAGAGAUGCAUGCCUUUAGGUUUAAGUACCGACCACAGCCGCCAGUGUCCAAGCAGUGGAGGCAGACCAAUCAUUUUAUCAUCGACCCACAAGAAAUUGCGAGCAGAUCUAGACACAAAGAAAAAAAGAAGAUUAUAGAUAUGCUACUUGGUCAAGCUAGCCGCUCAGAUCUCGCAACUAUUUCCAUUGUUGGAAUGGGCGGCGUUGGCAAGACCACAUUAGCUCAGCUCAUAUACAAUGAGCCUGAAAUUCAGAAGCAUUUCCAGUUGCUGCUCUGGGUCUGUGUCUCUGAUACCUUUGAUGUGAACUCCCUGGCCAAGAGUAUUGUUGAAGCAUCUCCCAAGAAAAAUGAUGAUAUAGACAAACAAAAAUCACCACUGGAAAAACUACAGGAAUUGGUCAGAGGGCAGAGGUAUCUCCUUGUAUUGGAUGAUAUCUGGAACAACAAAGAGUUCCAUAAGUGGGAAACACUGAAGGCCUGUCUGCAUGGUGGCAUGGGUAGUGCAGUGUUGGCAACAACUCGUGACAAACGAAUUGCUGAAAUUAUGGAUGCAACACCCUACAAUCUCAAUAUUUUGGAGGAUUGCUUCAUAAAGGAAAUUAUUGAGGCCAGAGCAUUCAGCUCGAAGAAAGAAAAGCCUACUGGACUAGUUGAGAUGGUUGAUGAAAUUGUGAAGAGAUGUUCUGGAUCUCCAUUAGCUGCAACGGCACUGGGCUCUGUACUUCGUACGAAGACCAGCGUGGAUGAAUGGAAGGUUGUAUCAUCCAGAAGCAGCAUUUGCACCGAGGAAACUGGAAUUUUGCCAAUACUGAAGCUUAGCUACAACGACUUGCCAUCAGACAUGAAGCAGUGCUUUGCUUUUUGUGCUGUAUUUCCGAAGGAUUACAAGAUUGAUGUGGAGAAACUGAUCCAACUAUGGAUCGCAAAUGGCUUUAUCCCAGAACACAAGGAAGAUAGUCUUGAAACUGUUGCAAAAUAUAUUUUCAAUGAGCUGGCAUCAAGGUCAUUUUUUGUGGAGAUAGAGGAAACUGUUGCAAAUGGCUUUAUCCCAGAAUUCUUGUCAAAUAAUUAUUCCAGAACAACAUGCAAAAUCCAUGAUCUUAUGCAUGAUAUUGCAUUGUCGGUUAUGGAAAAGGAAUGCAUUGUUACGACUGUGGAACCAAGUCAAAUCAAGUUGCUUCCAGAUACUGGUAGGCAUUUGUUCCUGUCUUGUGAAGAAACAGCAGAUAUUUUGAAUGAUUCUAUGGAGAAAAGAUCCCCUGCUAUCCAAACCCUGUUGUGUGGUAGCUCUCUGCGAAGCUCAUUGCAACAUCUAUCAAAGUACAGAUCUUUGCAUGCCUUGAAGCUCACUAUUAAGACAAAAUCAUUUCCACUGAAACCAAAGUAUCUGCAUCACUUGAGGUACCUUGAUCUCUCAUACAGUAACAUUAAAGCACUUCCUGAAGAUAUAAGUAUUCUAUAUAACCUGCAAACGCUGGACCUUUCCUACUGCCCUUACCUUGAUCGACUUCCAAUGCAAAUGAAGUAUAUGACCUCUCUCCGUCACCUCUACACUCAUGGAUGUUUGAAGUUGAAGACCAUGCCUCCAGAACUAGGAAAACUCACUAACCUGCAGACGAUUACAUGUUUUGUAGCAGCAGUUACUGGCCCUCACUGCAGUGAUAUUGCAGAGUUGCAGGACUUAAACCUUGGUGGUCAGCUGGAGCUAUGUCAGAUAGAGAAUAUUGAUACAAAAGCAGAAGCGAAAUUGGCAAAUCUCGGUAAAAAGAAGGAUCUCAGACAACUGACAUUAAAAUGGACUUCUGUUUGUGACACUGAGGUGCUCAACAAUUUCGAACCUCAUGGUGAGCUACAGGUUCUGAAGAUAUAUUCCUACGGAGGAGAGUGUAUGGGUAUGUUGCAAAACAUGGUUGAGAUACAUCUUUCUCAUUGUGAAAGAUUGCGAUUUUUAUUUAGAUGCAGUACAAUCUUAACUUUUCCAAGACUGAAGGUGCUUACGCUAGAACAUUUGUUGGGUUUUGAGAGAUGGUGGAAAAUAGAUGAGAGGCAAGAAGAACUUACAAUAUUUCCUGUGCUUGAGAAGUUAUGUAUUAGUAAUUGUGAAAAGUUGGUAGCAUUACCUGAAGCACCAUUGCUGCAAGGAUCUUGUGGUAAAGGUGAUUAUACAUUGGUACACUCAGCGUUUCCUGCCCUAAAGGUACUCGAAAUGAAAGACCUGGAGAGCUUUCACAGUUGGGAUGCAGUCGAAGAGACUCAAGGUGAACAGAUAUUGUUUCCUCAGCUUGAGAAACUAUCAAUUCAGGAAUGUCCAAAGUUGAUAAAUUUACCUGAAGCACCAUUGCUUCAAGAACCAUGUAGCAGAGGUGGUUAUAGAUUGGUACGCACAGCAUUUCCUGUCCUAAAGGUGCUCAAAGUGAAAGGCUUAGAGAGCUUUCAGAGAUGGGAUGCUGGUGCAAAAGGAGAACAGAUAUUGUUUCCUCAGCUUGAGAAACUAUCAAUUCAGAAGUGCCCAAAGAUAAUAGAUUUUCCCGAAGCACCAAAACUCAGUGUAUUAGAAAUUGAAGAUGGUAGGCAAGAGGUCUUCCAUUUCAUAGACAAAUUUUUUUCUUCACUGACCGAUCUGAUACUGAAGCUAGAAGACACAGAAACAACAUCAGAGACAGAGCGCACUUCAAUUGUAGCAGUGGACAACAAGGAGAAAUGGAACCAUAAAUCCCCUCUUACAGUUAUGGAGUUAGGAUGCUGCAACUUAUUCUUUGGAUCAGGUGCACUAGAGCAGUGGGACUAUUUUGUACACCUUGAAGGUUUGGAAAUUGGUAGAUGUGAUGUGCUUGUCCACUGGCCAGAGAAAGUGUUCCAAAGCUUGGUAUCCUUGAGAAGAUUAAAGAUUGUAAACUGCAAAAAUCUGACUGGAUAUGCACAAGCUCCUCUUGAGCCAUCAGCAUCCAGUAGGAGCCAAUGCCUGCCAGGUCUGGAGUCUCUUGAGUUAAGUUAUUGUGCAAGUUUGGUAGAGAUGUUCAACGUCCCAGCAUCUCUCAAGAGCAUGUAUAUUGAUGGGUGCAUUAAGCUCGAGUCCAUCUAUGGCAAGCAGCAGGGCAAGCCAGAGUUCGUUGAAGGCUCUUCUUGUAGUGAGGCAAUCAUGCCUGCAGGUGUGUCAGAGUUAUCAUCAUCAUCACUCAUGAAUCACUUCUGUUCAUGCCUAGAAGAGCUAAGUAUAUCUGGAUGUGGAAGCUUACCAGCGGUUCUAAAUCUUCCAAAGUCCUUAAAGACCAUAAUUAUUGCUCACUGCAGUAGUAUUCGAGGCCUAUCUUAUCAGAUGGGUGGGCUCCAGAGACCCGAAGUCACUACCUCCAUAAAUGUACCAGAGCCGUCAGCAGCAGUAGCAACGAGGCAUUCGCUUCCUCCUUAUCUUGAAUCUCUAGAAGUAUUGUUCUGUGCUGGCAUGUUGGGGGGGAUUCUCCAUCUGCCCACGUCCCUUAAGAGACUGACCAUUAUUGACAACGCUGGGCUGACAUCGCUUGAGUCAAUGCCGGGAGAGCACACCCCAUCCUUUGAAUCCCUUCAUCUUCUUGGCUGUCGUACCCUGGCAUCCCUACCAAAUGAGUCACAGGCAUACGAGUCUCUCAAAAAGCUUAUUAUUAAGAUCUGUCCUGCUAUAAAGAAGCUGCCUCGAUGCCUGCAGCAGCAGCUGGGUAGCAUUGACAACAAACGACUAGAUGCCCAUUAUGAAGUAACGGAAUUUAAACCAUUUAAGCCGAAGACAUGGGAGGAAAUACCAAGAAUAGUUCGCGAGUGGAGGUUAUUCAGCCUUUUUCCCGGCGAGAACCUCGAAAGACCAGGAAGCUUCUUUCAAUUCAUACAGGAGAAUAAUGUUGCCCAGUUAAGCAAGGAAAACAGGAUGACAACCACGUAG